UACGGGGGGGGCAAGCGUUGUUCGGAAUUACUGGGCGUAAAGGGCUCGUAGGCGGCCAACUAAGUCAGACGUGAAAUCCCUCGGCUUAACCGGGGAACUGCAUCUGAUACUGGAUGGCUUGAGUUCGGGAGAGGGAUGUGGAAUUCCAGGUGUAGCGGUGAAAUGCGUAGAUAUCUGGAGGAACACCGGUGGCGAAGGCGGCAUCCUGGACCGACACUGACGCUGAGGAGCGAAAGCUAGGGGAGCAAACGGG
This 253-nucleotide ribosomal RNA is filed under the name uncultured bacterium. RNAcentral describes it as "partial 16S ribosomal RNA". It matches the Rfam family "Bacterial small subunit ribosomal RNA", at positions 524 to 776 of the family's 1533-position model. The record is from RNAcentral.